GACAAUACCAGUGCAUGAGCGGCGGUGAGACGGAGGGAGCAAGCGUGACUGGGAAUGAAUGGGCGUAAAGGGCGAGUAGGGGAUCCGAGAAGUCUGGUGUGAAAGCCCACAUGUGAACUGUGGAAGUGCAUUAGAAACUGUUGGAUUUGAGUUCAGGAGAGGAAGGCAGAAUUCCCAGUGUAGCGGUGAAAUGCGUAGAGAUCGGGAGGAAUACCAGUGGCGAAGGCGGCCUUCUGGACUGACACUGACGCUGAGGCGCGAAAGCCAGGGGAGCAAACGGGAUUAGAUACCCCAGUAGUC
RNAcentral lists this ribosomal RNA (300 nucleotides) under uncultured Sulfurospirillum sp. Its description in RNAcentral is "bacterial SSU rRNA". It matches the Rfam family "Bacterial small subunit ribosomal RNA", at positions 495 to 795 of the family's 1533-position model. Lineage: Bacteria; Pseudomonadati; Campylobacterota; Epsilonproteobacteria; Campylobacterales; Sulfurospirillaceae. The record is from RNAcentral.